GACGAACGCUGGCGGCGUGCUUAACACAUGCAAGUCGAACGGAAAGGCCUUUUCGGAGGUACUCGAGUGGCGAACGGGUGAGUAACACGUGGGUGAUCUGCCCUGCACUCUGGGAUAAGCCUGGGAAACUGGGUCUAAUACCGGAUAGGACCGCACUUUAGUGUGUGUGGUGGAAAGUUUUUUCGGUGUAGGAUGAGCCCGCGGCCUAUCAGCUUGUUGGUGGGGUAAUGGCCUACCAAGGCGGCGACGGGUAGCCGGACUGAGAGGUUGGUCGGCCACAUUGGGACUGAGAUACGGCCCAGACUCCUACGGGAGGCAGCAGUGGGGAAUAUUGCACAAUUGGCGCAAGCCUGAUGCAGCGACGCCGCGUGGGGGAUGACGGCCUUCGGGUUGUAAACUCCUUUCGCCAGGGACGAAGCGUUUUGUGACGGUACCUGGAGAAGAAGCACCGGCUAACUACGUG
RNAcentral lists this ribosomal RNA (463 nucleotides) under uncultured bacterium. RNAcentral describes it as "partial 16S ribosomal RNA". It matches the Rfam family "Bacterial small subunit ribosomal RNA", at positions 28 to 507 of the family's 1533-position model. The record is from RNAcentral.